RNAcentral lists this ribosomal RNA (835 nucleotides) under uncultured bacterium. RNAcentral's name for it is "bacterial SSU rRNA". It matches the Rfam family "Bacterial small subunit ribosomal RNA", at positions 26 to 896 of the family's 1533-position model. The record is from RNAcentral.
AGAAUCAACGCUGGCGGCGCGCCUAACACAUGCAAGUCGAACGAGAAAGUCCGCAAGGAUGAGUAAAGUGGCGUACGGGUGAGUAACACGUGGAUCAUCUACCUCUUAGUGUGGAAUAACCCUGGGAAACUAGGGCUAAUACCGCAUAAGUCCGAGAGGAGAAAGCAGCAAUGCGCUGAGAGAGGAGUCCGCGGCCGAUUAGCUAGUUGGCAGGGUAAAAGCCUACCAAGGCAAAGAUCGGUAGCCGGCCUGAGAGGGCACACGGCCACACUGGCACUGAAACACGGGCCAGACUCCUACGGGAGGCAGCAGUGGGGAAUCUUGCACAAUGGGGGAAACCCUGAUGCAGCGACGCCGCGUGAGCGAUGAAGCCCUUCGGGGUGUAAAGCUCUUUCGGCAGGGAAGAUUAUGACGGUACCUGCAGAAGCAGCUGCGGCUAACUACGUGCCAGCAGCCGCGGUAAUACGUAGGCAGCAAGCGUUGUUCGGAGUUACUGGGCGUAAAGGGUGUGUAGGCGGUUGCUUAAGUUUGGUGUGAAAUCUCCCGGCUCAACUGGGAGGGUGCGCCGAAUACUGAGUGACUCGAGUGCGGGAGAGGAAAGUGGAAUUCCUGGUGUAGCGGUGAAAUGCGUAGAUAUCAGGAGGAACACCGGUGGUGUAGACGGCUUUCUGGACCGUAACUGACGCUGAAACACGAAAGCGUGGGUAGCAAACAGGAUUAGAUACCCUGGUAGUCCACGCCCUAAACGAUGCACAUUUGGUGUGGGUCAUUCAGUUGAUCCGUGCCGGAGCUAACGCGUUAAAUGUGCCGCCUGGGGAGUACAGUCGCAAGGCUG